RNAcentral lists this non-coding RNA (22 nucleotides) under Arabidopsis thaliana (thale cress). The record is from RNAcentral. Lineage: Eukaryota; Viridiplantae; Streptophyta; Magnoliopsida; Brassicales; Brassicaceae.
UGGUCAACUCAACUCAACUCAA